UCCUGAAGGUAGCAAGGUGGUAGAGCAUGAGACUCUUAAUCUCAAAGUCAUGGGUUCGAGUCUUACUUUCAGUGAA
Podarcis lilfordi (Lilford's wall lizard) is the source of this 76-nucleotide non-coding RNA. Lineage: Eukaryota; Metazoa; Chordata; Lepidosauria; Squamata; Lacertidae. The record is from the annotation of a GenBank genome assembly.